This 599-nucleotide ribosomal RNA is filed under the name uncultured bacterium. Its description in RNAcentral is "bacterial SSU rRNA". It matches the Rfam family "Bacterial small subunit ribosomal RNA", at positions 29 to 677 of the family's 1533-position model. The record is from RNAcentral.
AAGAACGCUGGCGGCAGGCUUACACAUGCAAGUCGAACGCCCCGCAAGGGGAGUGGCAGACGGGUGAGUAACGCGUGGGAAUCUACCCUGAUCUGCGGGAUAGCUCCGGGAAACUGGAAUUAAUACCGCAUAUGUCCUGAGGGACAAAGAUUCAUCGGUUCAGGAUGAGCCCGCGUCCGAUUAGCUAGUUGGUGGGGUAAAGGCCUACCAAGGCGACGAUCGGUAGCUGGUCUAAGAGGAUGAUCAGCCACAUUGGGACUGAGACACGGCCCAAACUCCUACGGGAGGCAGCAGUGGGGAAUAUUGGACAAUGGGCGCAAGCCUGAUCCAGCCAUGCCGCGUGAGUGAUGAAGGUCUUAGGAUUGUAAAGCUCCUUCACCGGGGACGAUAAUGACGGUACCCGGAGAAGAAGCCCCGGCUAACUUCGUGCCAGCAGCCGCGGUAAUACGAAGGGGGCUAGCGUUGUUCGGAAUUACUGGGCGUAAAGCGCACGUAGGCGGAUUUUUAAGUCAGGGGUGAAAUCCCGGGGCUCAACCCCGGAACGGCCUUUGAUACUGGGGAUCUUGAGUGUGGUAAAGGUGAGUGGAAUUGCGAGUGUA